CACGUAGUUAGCCGGGGCUUCUUCUGCAGGUACCGUCACCUUGCGGCCUCGUCCCUGCUGAAAGCGGUUUACAACCCGAAGGCCUUCAUCCCGCACGCGGCGUCGCUGCAUCAGGCUUUCGCCCAUUGUGCAAGAUUCCCCACUGCUGCCUCCCGUAGGAGUCUGGGCCGUGUCUCAGUCCCAAUCUGGCCGGUCGGUCUCUCAACCCGGCUACCCAUCAUUGCCUUGGUAGGCCACUACCCCACCAACUAGCUAACAGGCCGCGGGCCCAUCCUUUGCCGCCGGAGCUUUCCCAUAUUCGCCAUGCGACAAAUAUGGAGUAUCCGGUAUUAACCUCGGUUUCCCGAGGCUAUCCCAGUGCAAAGGGCAGGUUGCCCACGUGUUACUCAGCCGUUCGCCACUUUAUACACAUCCGAAGAUGCUUUAACCGUUCGACUUGCAUGUGUUAGGCGCGCCGCCAGCGUUCAUCCUGAGCCAGGAUCAAACUCU
Molecule: ribosomal RNA, 489 nt
Filed under: uncultured Atopobium sp.
Lineage: Bacteria; Bacillati; Actinomycetota; Coriobacteriia; Coriobacteriales; Atopobiaceae
Description: partial 16S ribosomal RNA
Source: RNAcentral